GUGGUUAUGUGAACAAUGGGGUUGUGAUUCAAAUCUUACUGAUGUACGUUUUUUAUUUUCAAUAGGUUCUCGAUGUCAAUACAGAAGCUUGAUCUGCAGACAAAUCACGAUACAUAACGUAUCCAACCCAAAACGCGAAAGAGAUUUGAAGAAAAUACCGGUCUGUUAUGGGAGCACAAAAUCGAGAAGAAGAAUAUGAUGAAAGCGGAUUGUAAGGCGAAGUGGAUAGCUGUAGCAGUGAAAAUCCGUUUUAACGUCUUUAUGAUUAUGCAAAACAGAAUUCGGGAUCUUUGAGAUCUGCUGUUGGAACCGUCGAAGGUACUAUUACUACAGUUAUUGGUCGUGUUUAUCACAAAUUCAAGCCUCUCCCUCAAGAUGUCCUCCUUUUUUUUUGACAAUAAGGUGAGGACACACUUUGCUAGCUCUGAUUGGAAAAAAGUUUUCACACUAAUAGCUUCAAAACACCCGAAUUCUACAAUAGGUAAUAAAUUGCUUGCAAAAAAUGCAGAACCAUUUCUCUCAAAUUAUAAUAUUGCAUUUGCAAUUACGAUUGUAAACCUCGAUUUAGUUUUUAUUACUCAAUAAUAUUAGUAAGUUUUUAACAAGAAAACGAUGCAUAAUACUUGCAGGUGAGUUCUAUUGCGGGA
This is a long non-coding RNA of Vicia villosa (hairy vetch), 647 nucleotides long. RefSeq lists it as uncharacterized. The transcript is spliced from 4 exons. NCBI's taxonomy places the organism in Eukaryota, Viridiplantae, Streptophyta, Magnoliopsida, Fabales, Fabaceae. The record is from RefSeq and is a predicted model, not a curated record.